Molecule: ribosomal RNA, 773 nt
Filed under: uncultured Neocallimastigales
Lineage: Eukaryota; Fungi; Neocallimastigomycota; Neocallimastigomycetes; Neocallimastigales
Description: partial large subunit ribosomal RNA
Rfam family: Eukaryotic large subunit ribosomal RNA
Source: RNAcentral
UAUCUCUGUAGAGUCUGCAUAUCAAUAAGCGGAGGAAAAGAAACUAACAAGGAUUCCCUUAGUAACGGCGAGUGAAGCGGGAAGAGCUCAAAUUUGAAAUCUCCAAGGUUCUACCUUGACGAAUUGUAGUUUAAAGAAGUGUUUUCUGUUAGAUGAGUAGCAAAAGUUCCUUGGAAUGGGACAUCAUAGAGGGUGAGAAUCCCGUAUUUGGUUAUUCAUUCUAGCUUUGUGAUACACUUUCAAGGAGUCGGAUUGUUUGGGAAUGCAGUCCAAAAUGGGUGGUAAAUUUCAUCUAAAGCUAAAUAUUGGCGAGAGACCGAUAGCGAACAAGUACCGUGAGGGAAAGAUGAAAAGAACUUUGAAAAGAGAGUUAAACAGUACGUGAAAUUGUCAAAAGGGAAGCGUUUGACACCAGUGUUGUUUUUCCGAAAAUCAAUUACGAAUGGCUUGAUUUUGUGUUGUAUUGACCUUAUCAGCUUUCUGCACUUUUUUCGAGUCUUUCUUAAUGCACUUUUGGUUAACAAGUCAACAUCAAUUUCUUUUGUUGUAAAAGAGUAUUCGGAAGGUGGCUUUCUUUUCGGAGAAAGUGUUUAUAGCCCUAUACUUCUACAAUCGGAGAGAUUGAGGUCUGCAGCGUAGAUCCUUCGGGGUUAGAUACACUUGUGCUAAGUUGUAGCUUUUCAUAGACAACUUGUUGACUAUGUUUAGUCAUGCGGCUUACUCGCUUGUGCUAUUUUACCUACGCUUAGGAUGUUGACUGAUAUGUAGUCGUA